UACGAGAGGCCCAAACGUUAUUCGGAAUUACUGGGCUUAAAGAGUUCGUAGGCGGCGCGGAAAGUGGGGUGUGAAAGCCCUCGGCUCAACCGAGGAAUUGCGCUCCAAACUACCGUGCUUGAGGAAGCUAGAGGUGAGCAGAACUGAUGGUGGAGCGGUGAAAUGCGUUGAUAUCAUCAGGAAUACCGGAGGCGAAGGCGGCUCACUGGGGCUUUUCUGACGCUGAGGAACGAAAGCCAGGGUAGCAAACAGG
RNAcentral lists this ribosomal RNA (253 nucleotides) under uncultured bacterium. RNAcentral's name for it is "partial 16S ribosomal RNA". It matches the Rfam family "Bacterial small subunit ribosomal RNA", at positions 524 to 776 of the family's 1533-position model. The record is from RNAcentral.